RNAcentral lists this transfer RNA (99 nucleotides) under Microbispora bryophytorum. RNAcentral's name for it is "tRNA-Trp". The record is from RNAcentral. Lineage: Bacteria; Bacillati; Actinomycetota; Actinomycetes; Streptosporangiales; Streptosporangiaceae.
UCGACGUUCUGGUCUCGGUCAUGUGACUCCCCCGCUUCCAGCGCGCGGUAGGUACCGGUUACCGCCGAUACAUGGCGGUACUACCCCGUUUGCGCUGAG